AACGCUGGCGGCAGGCCUAACACAUGCAAGUCGAACGGCAACAUUUCUAGCUUGCUAGAAGAUGACGAGUGGCGGACGGGUGAGUAAUGCUCGGGAACUUGCCUUUGCGAGGGGGAUAACAGUUGGAAACGACUGCUAAUACCGCAUAAUGUCUUCGGACCAAACGGGGCUUCGGCUCCGGCGCAAAGAGAGGCCCAAGUGAGAUUAGCUAGUUGGUAAGGUAACGGCUUACCAAGGCGACGAUCUCUAGCUGUUCUGAGAGGAAGAUCAGCCACACUGGGACUGAGACACGGCCCAGACUCCUACGGGAGGCAGCAGUGGGGAAUAUUGCACAAUGGGGGAAAUCCUGAUGCAGCCAUGCCGCGUGUGUGAAGAGGGCCUUCGGGUUGUAAAGCACUUUCAGUUGUGAGGAAAAGUUAGUAGUUAAUACCUGCUAGCCGUGACGUUAACAACAGAAGAAGCACCGGCUAACUCCGUGCCAGCAGCCGCGGUAAUACGGAGGGUGCGAGCGUUAAUCGGAGUUACUGGGCGUAAAGCGCACGCAGGCGGUUUGUUAAGCUAGAUGUGAAAGCCCCGGGCUC
This 581-nucleotide ribosomal RNA is filed under the name uncultured bacterium. RNAcentral describes it as "bacterial SSU rRNA". It matches the Rfam family "Bacterial small subunit ribosomal RNA", at positions 32 to 610 of the family's 1533-position model. The record is from RNAcentral.